Long non-coding RNA from Cyprinus carpio (common carp), 2368 nucleotides. RefSeq lists it as uncharacterized. Lineage: Eukaryota; Metazoa; Chordata; Actinopteri; Cypriniformes; Cyprinidae. The transcript is spliced from 4 exons. The record is from RefSeq and is a predicted model, not a curated record.
AAAAAAUUCAACGUUGAUUUAGAAAUGUUUCUGCCUUUUAACGUAUUAUUAUGAUAAUUAAUUAGCAUUUAAUGAUUUUUUGAUCAUAACAGCUCUUCAAUGUAUAUGUUAAAAUAUAAUUAUUAUCAUUAUUAACAAUAAUAGUUUCACCCUCAAGAGAGCAGUGCAGCAGAAACCUUUUGCCUUAUGUGAUUUUGUGUGAAUUUACAAUUUUGUCCGCUUGCCUAACAGUUUACAUUGCAUUAUUACAUUUGUAUUCAUACACUGUCAUGUCAUUUGACCAAUUAAUUAAAUAAUAAUACAGACUGCAAAUAAAAUUUAAUACACAGCUGUGUUAACUCGCGCAAACUAUUGCUAUUGUUAUUUGUUGUUUUUGCCGUUUUACUUUGAGCAUGAUUGGUUAAUCUGUCUGUUUUACAGGAAACUGUCCAAUGAGAAUGUGCGCGGCUCUGCGCGCCUAUUUUAAAUUUGAAAAUAUGUCCGUUAAUCUCGGUCGGGAGCAGCUGCUUUGCGUUGAUUACUCGGUCAGACCUGGAUUACUUUAUAUCUGCCUGUUGAAUUCUUACAUUUUGAGCGAAUAUUAGUUGAUAUGACAAUGAAGAUCAAAAGCUGGAAUGUGAACAGAGGAAGGGGUCGUACGUGGUCUGUAAAUACUGGCGAUAUCAGAUCAAGCUUUGUAAUAAGAUUUUUAUCGGGGGAGAACACCCAACAGAAAGACCCAUGAUUCACCAACUGGCGCACUGAAAGGGGAGAUUCAUGUCACCUUCAUCAGUCCUUUCUUUAAUCACUGGACACCAUUAAGGGAAAGACCCUCAGACGUGUCAUAAUAGGAUAAAUGCGGCUUCAGGGCAAGGCCUGGUGAGAGCCACUACAGAGGAUCAUAGCCAUUGUUGGAAUUCUGAAAGGACGUGGGUGAAUAUCAAUCUGCCAAAUGAACAUUCACAUCUGUAUAUUAAUACUGAUUAUAUAUGAACUUGUUUGUUUGUAACUGGAAAGAACUUAGCUUCUAUUGUUUUUGACUGAAGGACUUGACCAUGUUUUAAGCCUGUGUGCAUUUUCUAUUACCAGUACCUGCUCUGGCCGUGCUCCAUUUUCCAUUGCAGAUCAUACCCAGAGAUAGUACCCCUCAGUGCUGCUGGUCAGCAUAGCAAGGCCACACACAACUGCCGCGACGUACUGUUCAAUGCGACACACACACCUGCGACCCACAUACAGCUGUCUCUUGAUUUAAGUUACUCAGAAUGUAAAGACAGAUACUUAAAGGUGCUCUAAGCAAUGCCGGGAGUCGUAACUUCUUGUUGACGUUCGAAUUGUUGUCAAACAAAACAGAGGCUAGCUAGACCCUCCCUCCUCCUCAUCCGUGCACUAAGCCCCCCAACCCCCACCCCCAAAUCUUUCUUGUCGGUUAUUGGCUGUAACAGUUUGUUAUGUUUCGUGGUGCGGGUGUGCCCAGUUUGUUUUUCUUGUUGUUUGUGGAGCCUGUAGUGUCUAGAGAGACCGUGUUUUUUUUACAGUGUGUUCAGGGGACAGGCAGCUAGCGGAUAGUGAGGAGAUGUUUGCAGGAUGUGACAAAAGAUGUUUUGGCCUAAAAAACGUGUGACAUCACUUAGAGCACCUUUAAUUAAUAUAACAUUUAAUUUAACUAAAACAAAUAUCAAAUACAUGUCUAAUACUUCAUCAACGCGUCAUACUCCUGGAAAAGACCCACAUAAAGCGCAGAUUUUAAAAUGAUUAAUAUCCACAUCACUGCUGUAUUUUUCAGAUGUCAGAUCAAAUUGAGGGGAACAAGCCUGCAUCCCAAUGUGCACACUAUCCAUCCUAAAUAGUAUAUAAGAAAAUACAGUAUAUAUUUUUUGUACGAUAGUUGUUUUUGUAGAACAUCUCUGCAGUGAAUGUUUUUGUUUAAAUAAUUCCAAGGAUAUGAAGUAGAUUAUUAUUUUAACGUUAUUACAUUGCAUUUCAACGUAGGCAUACAUUUGAUGGCUUUUUUUUAUUCUGAUGCGAGUGAUGUACCGUUUUUACACACUUAUCUCAUUAAAAGGGGAAAAGUCUGUCCAUCUUCAUUUCUGAAAAUGUGUAACAUUUGAGACCCCAGCUCGGUCACAUUUAUAUUUCAUUAAUGUUAAUUAAAUAACUUGAAGUUCAGAAAGGAGUUAGAACUACCACUUGAGGUGUAGGAAACACUGGGACAUGCCAUUAUGUACAGUAAUAGUACGAUUUGAUUUGACAUUUGAACUUAAAUUGAAGUGUUCAAGCCAUUAAAGGGUUAGUUCACCCAAAAAUGAAAAUUCUGUCAGUAAUUACUCACCCUCAUGUUGUUCCAACCCCUUAAGACCUUCGUUCAACUUUGGAACACAAAUUAAGAUAU